UGCAGAAUCCCGUGAGUCAUCCAGUCUUUGAAUGCAAGUUGCGCCCGAGGCUUCGAAUGAGGGCACGUCUGCCUGGGUGUCGCAC
RNAcentral lists this ribosomal RNA (85 nucleotides) under Cycas circinalis. RNAcentral's name for it is "partial 5.8S ribosomal RNA". It matches the Rfam family "5.8S ribosomal RNA", at positions 73 to 154 of the family's 154-position model. Rfam says of the family: 5.8S ribosomal RNA (5.8S rRNA) is a component of the large subunit of the eukaryotic ribosome. It is transcribed by RNA polymerase I as part of the 45S precursor that also contains 18S and 28S rRNA. The record is from RNAcentral. Lineage: Eukaryota; Viridiplantae; Streptophyta; Cycadopsida; Cycadales; Cycadaceae.